CCCUUGUACACACCGCCCGUCACACCAUGGGAGUUGGUUCGACCUUAAGCCGGUGCGCCAACCGCAAGGAGGCAGCCGAUCACGGUCGGGUUAGCGACUGGGGUG
This 105-nucleotide ribosomal RNA is filed under the name uncultured bacterium. RNAcentral's name for it is "partial 16S ribosomal RNA". It matches the Rfam family "Bacterial small subunit ribosomal RNA", at positions 1378 to 1482 of the family's 1533-position model. The record is from RNAcentral.